Molecule: long non-coding RNA, 550 nt
Organism: Aedes albopictus (Asian tiger mosquito)
Lineage: Eukaryota; Metazoa; Arthropoda; Insecta; Diptera; Culicidae
Exons: 2
Source: RefSeq, a predicted model, not a curated record
UUCGGGCGCAUUACUAAUGUUUUGAUUAUGUUAAUAAUUUUGUUAGAUGACCAGCGUGAAUAUACAAAAGCUUGGGGCAUUGAUUGAAAAAUUAUUCACUCUCAUUGGAAAUAAAUAAUAAAAUGGUUUUUAGCCAUUUUUCUUAUGCGAUACAUUCCAUAUAAUCUCCAUAUAAACGGCCGCGGGGCAAGAUGGGUCACCUUCAAUUUUGAGCGUAUUUUUGGAGCAUUCAAAAGUUAUUUAUUUUUUGUUACAAGACUAUCUCAUAAAUGACUUCAAUCAAGCGGAAUGAACGCUCAAAAUUAUAACAUAAAAUUAUGAUAUUUUUUUUAGUGAAAACAUCGAUUUUCAAGUCGCCUUAGGACCACUCAUAUCGUAAAGUUUUUUAUAUUCCAAAUAAAUUUAUAAAAUGUUUACUAGUAGCUUUUGUUUACUCAGUAUGGAUAUGGAGCAUAUAUGAUUGCGGAACAAAUCUUAUAUUUUGACGUUUUUCGUUGAGAAAAUGUGAAUUACUUAAAAGGUGACCCAUCUUGCCCCGCCCCACCCUACU